GGCAGGUUCCGGCCUCAAGGACGAAAUGUCACCAGUACCCUCAAGGUUGUCUUCUUCCUCCAAGUUUUUUUUUUCCCGUGUCUUGCUGAUUGUUGGGUCCUACAAGUUGUGGAGACGGCGGUCGCUCUACAGGAGGCUGGAUGUUUCGCAGUCGUUUUGGAAUGUGUGCUUGCACCUGUAGCUGUAGCUGCAACCUCUGUCCUCCAGAUCCCCACCUUAGGCAUUGGAGCUGGCCCUUUUUGCAGCGGCUAGGUCUGCAAAGGUGUGGAAAGAGCUGCAGACCGAGGUGGAUAAAUUACCUGAGGCCUGAUCUUAAGAAAGGCACAUUCUCGCAGCAAGAAGAGAACCUGAUAAUCGAACUUCAUACAGUUCUAGGCAACGACAACACCUUUGUACGAGCAGCCAGCUGAGCCAUUGAAGAGAGAGAGAGAGAGACAGAGAGAGACAGAGAGAGAGAGAGAGGAGUCUUUGCUUUGCACGUAGCUUGUGUUUGCAAAAGAGCAAGGAUUGUAGCUGUAGUGGGUUCCUAGGGCUUAAGACAGAAAUUGUUGGAUUAUAAAAGCCUGGAAAUGAAAUGUUGUAUUGAAAUUGAAAUUGAAAUGUGUACUAGAAAAGAAGGAAAAGAUUAUUGUGUGUGAAUCAUUUUAUUAUCUUUUUCUUCUAUUUGUGUAAUUAUCUGGCAUAUAAUACAAGUAGAUUAUAUACCC
Molecule: long non-coding RNA, 707 nt
Organism: Magnolia sinica
Lineage: Eukaryota; Viridiplantae; Streptophyta; Magnoliopsida; Magnoliales; Magnoliaceae
Exons: 2
Source: RefSeq, a predicted model, not a curated record